This 7909-nucleotide long non-coding RNA is filed under the name Lynx pardinus (Iberian lynx). Lineage: Eukaryota; Metazoa; Chordata; Mammalia; Carnivora; Felidae. The record is from RNAcentral.
AGGCCUCUACUGACCCCCAGAUCCCGUGUAUAGAUUGGUUUUGCUGCUGUAAGGGGAAGGAGGGGAUGAAAGACACCUGACAGCAGGGUCUAGGGUCUGGGCAGCCAGGACAGAGGAAGGAAGGGGAAAAAACUCUCCCUUUCUUAAUGGGAGGAGCUCUUGGCAAAAAAAAAAAAAAAAAAAGAGAUCAUCUUAAUUCAUAAAGCUACUUUUAUUUUAUUUUUAUUAAUGUUUAUUUAUUUAUUUUGAGAAAGAGAGAGAGGCAGAGAGAGAGGGAGAGAGAGAGAAUCCCAAGCAGGCUCUGGGGCGGAUGCAGGGCUCAAUCCCACGAACCCAUGAGGUCGUGACCUGAACUGAGAUUAAGAGUUGGAUGCUCAACCGACCAAGCCACCCAGAUGCCCCAAAACUACUUUUGUUUUUAAAAAGCUGUUUUCAGAGGAACUAAUAACACCUCCCACCUCUCCACCCCCGACCCCACCCCUCCAAAACAGCAGGCCUGCCUUGCCUUCUCUCUCUGGCGAGCAUCCUACUUGCCUGGGAAAAAGAGAAAGGGUCAAGGGCAAAGGGAAUCACAGUUGCUAAAAGCCCUCAAAAAACAGUGAGACAUGUGCCCACCUGAGAGGCAUUUUCCCGAGAUGAGGCAAAGUGGGAAAGUAAAGAAUAGCAGGUCAGGGGACCAGCCAGCCGUGUGACCUUGGACAAGUCACUUACUUUGAGCCACCGUUUGCUCCUUCCCCAAAUAAGAAAAAUCUUACCUAGUGGGGGUUUCAUUCUCUUAAGCUAGUGCUCACUGAGCCUCUCGUGCAUGCCGGCCAUUAUCACAUUGAUAACGUUACUCCAUUCUCACAAGAACCCUGUGAGAAAGGAACUGUUCCUCCCUCCUGACACAGGGGACAGUGGGGCAGAGGACUGAAGUGGCCUGCCUGUGGGCAGAGGCCCGGCCAGUUAUGGAGCUGGGCUGGAGCCCUGGAGUUCUGCUCCGGAGCCCACACACGCUCUGCCACACCACAGCUGUCUCCUGAUGGGCAGAUGAGGUCAUGUACACGCAAGGCCUUCGGAAAGUUUAAAGGCUGGAGAAUGUGAGGUGUUAUUUUUGACAGUUUGGAUAGUGGAGAGGAGAGGGGCACUUUUCCUUUUUUGAGCUUCCCCAUGCAGGGUCUUCUCUGUAGACACUUGGCAGCCAGAAUUUUCUCCUCCCUUUGUUCCAGAAGCAUUGCCUUGCUUUUUGAAGCAGCAAAACCACAGAUGACCCACAGACAUCCAGGGGGCAGUUGGGGUGGAGGGUGGUGAAGCCUGGGGGCUUCCCUUCCUGGAGAAACCUGAGACAACCCUGUACUGCCUCUCCACCUCUGCCCUGACUCUGCGAAGGUCUAGGGCAAGGCCUCUCCCUGCCCCAGACUCCAGUGUCCCCAUCUGGAAUGGAGGUAAUCUGAGCAAAGCUGAGCGGCCAGGCACAAUGAGGUGGUGGACGAGGGCGGGAGGGCAGAAACCAGUGUUGGGGGUCCCUCCCUGCAAGAGCAGAGAGACAAGGGGAAACUUGUUAGUGGGCCAUCUGUGGUGCUGGGAUGCUCAUGAGGAACUUAGAGAAAAACCUUGCAACUUCUUGUAGAGGCUGGUGUUGGCCAGGGUGGGUUUGUUUCUAGGAUUUGAAACAAGGGUGCCGUGGUCACAGAUGUUGAGGAAGCUCUGGGUUAAACUGAGUUUUCUUUAGUGCUGGACUUUCUUUUUUUGUUUAUUUAUUUAUUUUUGAGAGAGCGUGCGUGCGCGUAUGUGUGCACACAAGUGGAGGAGGGGCAGGGAGAGAGAGAGACACAGAAUCCGAAGAAGGCUCCAGGCUCUGAGCUGUCAGCACAGAGCCCCACGCAGGGCUUAAAUCCACGAACCCGUGAGAUCAUGACCUUAUCUGGAAGUAGGAAGCUUAACCGACUGAGCCAGUCCCUAGUGCUGGACUUCUUAAAAUCUUUAAAAUUGUAAUGAGUCCUGUGACUCUUUAAAAGGGGGUGUUCGUGCAGCUUUACCCAAACUUGCUUGGCUUUGGAACUCCUUUCCCCCCCACAGAGCCCUCUGUGCUGCAGAGUCCACUUUGGGAAGUGCUAAUCUAAGGCAACGCUCCCAUUUCACAGAUGGGGCCAGAGGAGAAUGGGAAUCUAGGCAGCUUCUAAAAUUGGCCACUUUCCUGAAUGCCCCUCAUCCCUAGGGGGCCGAGAAUCACUCCACACCUGUUUUCAGGGAUUAGAGAAAAUGUGUCCUGUCCGGCUGCAGCUGUGGUGCAUGGAAGAAAGGACAUCUGUCCCCUCCUUUUAAGGGUGGGGGUAGUAAAUGGGGUGAGGGGAGAGGAAUGAAGAACUAGGCCCCUUGAAAGUGAGAAACCCUUUAACAGAGUAGAGGAGCAAGACAGCUAGACAGGUCACCCUGAGAACACUCUAUGCCUCCCCAAGUCUUAGCAAGGACCACUCAGGAUGCCAAGUCCCAGCCCCAAUGCCCAACCCUGCAGUUAUUAGGCCUACUCAGAAACACUAUCUUUGACCUCAGUUUCCCCAUUUGCUAAUGGCUCCUUUCUGAAAAUGAACUCGUGUCCAGUGGCUAAGUCCCCAGGGCCCCCAAGUCCACAGUGGCCUGAGCUGCUUUCCAAGGAGCUGGCACCCAUCACAGUUUCUGCAGCUGAACAGGGAGCUCAACCAGGGAGAGGAGAGAGGUCAGGGAGUGAUGCCCCCACCUAGCCCCCAGGCCCAGGCAACCCUCUCCCACCAUCCUGGUAGCUCCUAGUCCGCAUUUUCUCCCCUAAGGCAUCUCUCUUUUUGAAAAUGUCAGGCGCAGCACCAACCUGUUCAGGUUCAGGGAGUUUAUUCCUAAGGGGCUUGAGAAAGAUGACCUUUCCCACCCUCUAAAAAUGGGGAGAGGACUUAUCAUAACCCUAACUUUGCUGAGGUCACUGGGGGUGGGGCGAAUGGGAUUCCCAUGGGCCUGGAAGAGCUGGAUGGAGGGUGCAGAGAUGGAGGCCCCCUCCCCCUCCCAUUAUACAUCAUUCUGGGACUUUCUCCUCCCAGCUCUGAGCCCAGCCAAGGCAGCUGUUGUCCAGAUCCAAACAAAGACCUGAUACUUCUUCCAACCAGGCCGAGCUGGGCGGUCUGUAGAUGGGCAGGGGUUGGGGGCGGGGAGGGGGGAGAGCAGACAGAGGGGGCAAGGGGGAGCCAGGACAGGAAGAUAGUCGGCUUGUCUUGUCCUCUGGUCCAUGCCCUUUGUGCUAAGACUCAAGAUAGCCACUUCUGUGGGGCCCAGUCUGGCCCUCGGGCAGCCUCUCCCCCUCCUGUUUUGCUCCUCAGCCACAUGCCCUUGGGCUGAGCUAAGUCCAGAACCCGGCUGAGUAGGGGAAUUGUUCUGAGAAAGUGGCCCGUUGGCUGGUUGCUAUGGAAACCGACAUACCACAGUGCUGACCCCGGAGAGGUUUAGCACGCUCCCCCAGCAGGGAUGCCAGCAGCUGGACUGCAGCUGUUACAGCGUAAGUGGGGGCUGGAGCCUCCGCCAGCAGUCCCUGCUGUUUGCCUAAACUAGUCCCGGCAGCAGAUCCCCUCCAUUUGCCCCCACCCCCAGUCCUCACACAGCCUUCCCCCCUGCUCCAGCCAGGAAGGGAGCGGUUGAGUCUGCCCAGGCGCAAGGGGGUGGGGGUGCGAGAGGAAGAGUCGAGCUUGACUCCAGAGAGAGGUCUUUUAUGAAGCAGGGGGCAUCCUCCUCAUUGCAUUUCUGGGGAAACUGAGGCUCAGAGAAGAGAAGUCACUGGUGCCCAGUCACACAGCCAGGACGUGACAGAGCUUUGCUUUGCUUUGGGCUUUCCUUUCACCAACUGAGCACUCACUGUGGAGUCAUGGGCUCUGAGCAGACAGGAAGCAUCUAACCCAGCGUCGCAUCCAGACACAACCCUAGAGGGUGAGGCGACAUCAAUGAACAAAAGGUGCACCCAAAAACUAACUAUACAAAGAGAGGGGUAAGUGAAGAGGAAAUGAAGAGGGAAUUGGGAAGAGUGGGGAACAGCAGGAAAGGGAGCUGGAGAGAUAGGACAGGCAGCGAAAGUCGGAGGAGAAAGAGAGCUCAGUGAGGAGGUACCCAGAACAGGCCUAGGAGAGAUUGGUGGACAAACAAAGCCAGGCCUGCUGAGGACUCCUCAUAAAGAGGAGGGAGUGGAGAAGGGGCAAGGUGGGGGGGUGGCGGCUAGCGUUAAAAUAAGUUUCAGGGAGGCAUCUCCUGCCAUCCCAUAAUGCCUUGAGCUCCCCAAGUGGCCUAAAGCAAACACACCAACCUGCCUCCCCUCUGCAGUGUGAAGCUGCAAGACUCAGGCCGGGCUAAUCUGCACCAGGGACUCUAAACAAAUCCCCCACCCCCCCAGCCAGAGAGGAGAGAUGGCUCUCUCUGGGGUGGCCCUGACAUCAGCCAACCAUCUCUCACAGCAGCCAGAACACCAGCUGCCUUCCAUUCCCCCUGUGUGGCUGGUCUCAUACCGGGUUUGCUCUGACCCUCAUCCCCACCUCUCAAAGGUGACUUGGGCCUGCUUCCUCCUUUGCUGCCCUCGCUCAUCUAGAACUGCGGCCCAAGUCAAUGCCUUGUGAGUAGGUGGCCCUCUUCUCUCUAAAACUACAUCUCGCUGCUUCUAACGAAUGAACACCCUUUUUAAAAGUUGGUUUUGAGAGAAACCAACUAUUUCCCUCAAAUAGUUAGUUGCAGGCGACUGGAGAGCUGCUCUGGACCCUCUCACCCUCUUGAGCUGUUGGGAAGUUGCUCUCUUUACAAAGGCUUUGCUCCACAGACACAAGCCUCUGCCCAGCAGAGCUUGGGAAUGAGCCAAUAUCAUUACACUCCUUAACUGAACACCUCGCUCUGCAAUGGGCCGGCAGCUUGCUUUUGCACUUACCACCUUUUAAAGGGCAAUCUGGUAUCUCAGGUGAGCAGAUCCAACAAGGACAGCAUUGAAGCUAAUGUCCUGGUCCUCUGGCCCACCUCUCUGCUUUCUGAGCAAGACCAGCUAGUCAGUUAUGGACACUUAGCCUUGACUUGGGGGUGAGAAGCACUGGCCAAGAGUUGCCUGGAGCCUGCCCUGCCCCAGCCAGUGAGGUCAUCAAAAGGCAUUUAUUGAGGUUAAAUGGGUGAUGGACAUUAAGGAGGGCACUUGUUGGGAUGAGCACUGGGUGUCAUAUGUAAGACAUGAAUCACUGGGUUCUACUCCUGAAGCCAGGACUACAUUGUAUGUUAACUAACUUGAAUAUUAAAAAAAAAAAAAAAAAAAAGAAGCAUUUAUUGAGCAGUUGACCAUAUGCCUAGCACUGUGGGUGUGGUAAUAAGGAGAGGGCAUGUGGAAAAAGUCUUGGACAAGGGCCCCUGUCCAGAAGAAGCUUGUAGUCUUAAUGGAAGACAAGGCUGACCUACCAUGUGAAACAGAGAUAUGUUAGUGCUCAGCAACAGAGCACCCUGCGUGCAGAUACAAUAGUCCUGGAGGCACUACACUCUCCAGGGGAAGAGACACCCACGGGAGAGUCCUAUCCAUUUCUUGAGGCCAAGUGCAGGCACGCGCUUGGCAGUGAUGGGCCUACGAGCACACAGGAGGAUAAAAUCGGGCCUAUGAAACCUUGCCAAUGGUGAAACUCUAGCCAGAGCUGCCUUCCAUCUCCUUUUUGGGAAAGGCAGAUACACAAAUACCCGAGUCCCAUCCUGACGGCAAACAUCUCUUACCCUCUUGCCAGCUCUUUCAGGAUGAGAAAUGGGCCAUGAUCCAGGACCCAAGGUCUGAAUCACUCUGGGACUUGGGCACAUUUGACCUCGAUACUAAUGAGCAUUUACAGUUUCCACAAUCACUACCUCAUUUAAAUCCCCCCUACCUCCUGUGACAUGGGUGAGGAUUAUUAUUCCCAUGUUACAGAUGAGGAGAAAGAAACCCAGGGAAGUGAGAGGCUGACCUGAAGUCAUGUGUUUGAAAGCAACAAAGCCAGAAUGAACUAAGGCCUUCCGUUGUGACCAGUACCCUACCCACCAUGCAACACGGACACUCUGUUAGUUUUCCAUUUCUUACAGAAGCCGGCACCUGGUAGUUGGUCAGUAAAUAUCUCUUGAACAGCAGGAAAGCAAAAAGUUGCCCAAGUUGCCCUCAAGGCCACAGCAAGACAUGUUCAGCUGUGUCUGUAUGUGUGGCAGUGGAGGUGAUGGAGGAAGCAGCAAAAGCCCACACGAGUGCCGGCUUCCAUGGGGACGGUCACCCCAAAGCACUGAGCUGCCAUUUUGAAGAAAUGGUACCAAAGGACACUGAACUAGUUUUAAGUUGAAGUAACUUCUAAAACAUCCUUAAAGCUCCCAACCUCUGUGAACAGCAAACAUCUUUCUGACUAAAACAAAACAAAACAAAACAAAACAAAACAAAACAAAACAAAACAACAACAACAAAAAAAACCAAGGGGUACCUGGGUGCUCUGUUGGUUAAGUGUCCAACUUCGGCUCAGGUCAUGACCUCACAGUCUAUGGGUUUGAGCCCCAUGUCGGGCUCUGUGCUGACAGCUCAGAGCCUGGAGCCCGCUUCGGAUUCUGUGUCUCCCUCUCUCUCUGCCCCUCCCACACUCUCACUCUGUCUGUCUGUCUGUCUGUCUCUCUCUCUCUCAAAAAAUGAAUAAACAUUAAAAAAAAUAAAAUAAAUGAAAAAAAGAAAGUGAAAGGGGCGGGGGAUGAGGAGUGGGUUGGAGCCAUAAGCAGAGAGCAGGUUGUAUGGUAACGAGCAGAAGGAAGUCAGUGGAUAGACAACACAUGAGACCAGACAGCCCUUCAGCCUGGCUCCGCAUAGCAGAGUCCGUGGCCAAGUGCCACUCAAUCCUCUGAAACAAGGGAAGGUGGGUCUUCCCGAGGGUCCUGAGAAGAAGAGAUUGCAAGGAUGCCCUUCAGCUGGAAUAAAAGGCAAAGGGUCAAGCAGGGGAAUCCACAGGGCCAGGCUCAGUGUGGAAACAAGGGCAAAAGUCCUCAUCUGUGCAGGUGCCUGUGAGCACUGAUGCACCUAGGCAUGAGGGCCCCGGGCAUAACAGAGGGUUUUAGGGUGCCCGACAGAAAGAGAUCAAACUCCUGGUGUACAGACAGUGAUCCAGAAGCAGAGCCACAGGCUGGAACAAAAAGGUUACUUCACUGGUCACUUAUUACUGAAAUUUUUUAAAUGUUGGAGCUGGUGGAGAUUUUAGGGAUCACUUUAUAGGUGACUUGGCUCAGGGCCUAGAACACAGUAGGGUGCCCCCCCACCUAUGUUUAUUCAAUGAGUGGACACAUGAAUGAAUGGAGAGAGAAGCAGAACUCCAAAACCUCUGAUAUUCAUUAUGAUGUUCUGAAGUCCUAAGAUAUGGACCUACCUUCGGUAGGUCCCUGCGCUCGUUAAUUGCCUAUUAGGGUCAUUGUUUGAAAACCGGUGCUCCGAUGACAGUAACUCCUUGUGAAUGAGAAUUCAACCCGAUUCUGUUUGAUCGCCUUGCGUGGAGUUCCUUCCUAGCACGUGCCAGACACUGUGCAGAAGUACUUCACUGUCCCUUCCAUUCCAGACCACGAAGAAGUGGUAGUUUAGCGCUCUGACAGCUUUGCUGCUGACACUGCGGCUGAUGCUGCAGAGGGGGGCCAGGCUGCAGCAGGAGGUGGGCUGGCCCCAGGGCGAGGGACAUGUCCUCUGCAUCCCCUGGAGGCCCAGGCAACUCCUGCUUUGGACCUGGAUGACCCCUGUGGGUCCUCUCCCACCUUCCCCAGAGCCCCCCACCCCCUGGCAGCCUGCGGAGGCAGAAGGGAGGGGGUGCAAGGCUGCCACGGGGCUCCUCUCCUUGCCAUUUCCUCCGCGGCUCCCUCGCUGGCCCUGUUUUUCAGACCUCUAGUAAUAAAAACAAGCCAAUAAAAUGAACAUGAAAAUAUA